RNAcentral lists this ribosomal RNA (468 nucleotides) under uncultured bacterium. RNAcentral's name for it is "partial 16S ribosomal RNA". It matches the Rfam family "Bacterial small subunit ribosomal RNA", at positions 28 to 507 of the family's 1533-position model. The record is from RNAcentral.
GACGAACGCUGGCGGCGUGCUUAACACAUGCAAGUCGAACGGAAAGGCCCUGCUUUUGUGGGGUGCUCGAGUGGCGAACGGGUGAGUAACACGUGAGUAACCUGCCCUUGACUUUGGGAUAACUUCAGGAAACUGGGGCUAAUACCGGGUAGGAGCUCCUGCUGCAUGGUGGGGGUUGGAAAGUUUCGGCGGUUGGGGAUGGACUCGCGGCUUAUCAGCUUGUUGGUGGGGUAGUGGCUUACCAAGGCUUUGACGGGUAGCCGGCCUGAGAGGGUGACCGGGCACAUGGGGACUGAGAUACGGACCAGAAUCCUACGGGAGGCAGCAGUGGGGAAUAUUGCACAAUGGGCGGAAGCCUGAGGCAGCAGCGCCGCGUGCGGGAUGACGGCCUUCGGGUUGUAAACAGCUGUCGCCUGUGACGAAGCGUGAGUGACGGUAAUGGGUAAAGAAGCACCGGCUAACUACGUG